UACGGGGGGAGCAAGCGUUGUUCGGAUUUACUGGGCGUAAAGGGCGCGUAGGCGGCCACCGCAAGUCGACUGUGAAAUCUCCGGGCUUAACCCGGAAAGGUCAGCCGAUACUGCGGGGCUAGAGUGCAGAAGGGGCAACUGGAAUUCUCGGUGUAGCGGUGAAAUGCGUAGAUAUCGGGAGGAACACCAGUGGCGAAGGCGGCACUCUGGGCCAGUACUGACACUGAGGAGCGAAAGCGUGGGGAGCGAACAGG
This 254-nucleotide ribosomal RNA is filed under the name uncultured bacterium. Its description in RNAcentral is "partial 16S ribosomal RNA". It matches the Rfam family "Bacterial small subunit ribosomal RNA", at positions 524 to 776 of the family's 1533-position model. The record is from RNAcentral.